UGAAUAGGCAGAGGUUUGAGAUUUUGAGAACCUACUUCAACUGCGAAAAACUCGAUUUCUUCAACUUGAUAGCCGUUGUGAAAGUCUCGAAUUCUUCGGGGCUGGUUUGAAUUGGUUUAUUGGUCGCUUCUUCGGGUUCAAUUUUUCUAGGCUAAUUGAUUUCUUUCUGGGUCGGAUUUGGCUUCUUGCCAAAUUUGGGGUUCUUCUCUGUUUAGCUAAAUAUGGCUUUGUUUUGCUGUGGUAGCGACUGAAAUUUGAUACUGGUGUGACAAGCAGUUAACAAGUAAGAGCUUUUUCUUCUUCUUAAGUAAGUUUGAAGAAUAUUUACACACACUUAUCCAAAUUUGUAUUUUGAUUUUUAACUCCAAGUGGUUCAUAGCUUAAGAACAGAAUUAUGAAGAAGUAAUACGAAAAGAAGUACAAAAAUAUGAUAUUUAAUUGCAACGAUCAGCCAGUAAUUCAAUCAAAGGAUCAUCGCGGACCUUAUGCAGCCCUGCCACCAUUGUUCCGGUAUUGUUCAGAUGUAGGGAGCGUGGAUAUUGUGUUCCAAGAUUGGUCAUUUUGGGGUUGGGUUGAGACCAUAGAUACAAGGAAACGGGUACGUGGCAGCGUAUCCCGAACCAGUUCGUUCGACCCGGAACACGGGUCGUUUCCAACCAGAUCGCCACAAUUCGCGUCCGGUUCGUGAAUUCCGGCGAUCCACACAAACUCCGGCGACCAAGUCUUUUAAGAAUAACAGAGAGAGUGGGUACGCUGUCACAAGAGCACACAUAGUUCAGAUCUAAACAUCAUAUGAUACUGGCUUUUUGUUUGACGUGAUUGUAUGCGGAGACGAAGAAGAAAAGGAGUGAAGAAGAAAAGUGGCAUGUGUAUGUCUGUAUGUAUAUGUAACAUAAUCGGCCACCGAUACAAAGGGAUUACUAAAGCAUUUGGGCCUUUCAAUCUCCAAGCCCAAUACAUUUUAAAUUGAAUUAACGGUUGCUAUUGCAAAUAUAUGAAGUUUAAUGAACUGCCCAUUUUCGGGCCCAAUAACUUCAUAAAUCACAUAAUAAUUUCAGAACAGUUUUA
Molecule: long non-coding RNA, 1068 nt
Organism: Daucus carota subsp. sativus
Lineage: Eukaryota; Viridiplantae; Streptophyta; Magnoliopsida; Apiales; Apiaceae
Exons: 3
Source: RefSeq, a predicted model, not a curated record